GAUGAACGCUGGCGGCGUGCCUAAUACAUGCAAGUCGAGCGAACAGACGAGGAGCUUGCUCCUCUGACGUUAGCGGCGGACGGGUGAGUAACACGUGGAUAAUCUACCUAUAAGACUGGGAUAACUUCGGGAAACCGGAGCUAAUACCGGAUAAUAUAUUGAACCGCAUGGUUCAAUAGUGAAAGACGGUUUUGCUGUCACUUAUAGAUGGAUCCGCGCCGCAUUAGCUAGUUGGUAAGGUAACGGCUUACCAAGGCAACGAUGCGUAGCCGACCUGAGAGGGUGAUCGGCCACACUGGAACUGAGACACGGUCCAGACUCCUACGGGAGGCAGCAGUAGGGAAUCUUCCGCAAUGGGCGAAAGCCUGACGGAGCAACGCCGCGUGAGUGAUGAAGGUCUUCGGAUCGUAAAACUCUGUUAUUAGGGAAGAACAAAUGUGUAAGUAACUAUGCACGUCUUGACGGUACCUAAUCAGAAAGCCCCGGCUAACUACGUG
This 497-nucleotide ribosomal RNA is filed under the name uncultured bacterium. Its description in RNAcentral is "partial 16S ribosomal RNA". It matches the Rfam family "Bacterial small subunit ribosomal RNA", at positions 28 to 507 of the family's 1533-position model. The record is from RNAcentral.